RNAcentral lists this ribosomal RNA (468 nucleotides) under uncultured bacterium. Its description in RNAcentral is "partial 16S ribosomal RNA". It matches the Rfam family "Bacterial small subunit ribosomal RNA", at positions 28 to 507 of the family's 1533-position model. The record is from RNAcentral.
GACGAACGCUGGCGGCGUGCUUAACACAUGCAAGUCGAACGGAAAGGCCCUGCUUUUGUGGGGUGCUCGAGUGGCGAACGGGUGAGUAACACGUGAGUAACCUGCCCUUGACUUUGUGAUAACUUCAGGAAACUGGGGCUAAUACCGGAUAGGAGCUCCUGCUUCAUGGUGGGGGUUGGAAAGUUUCGGCGGUUGGGGAUGGACUCGCGGCUUAUCAGCUUGUUGGUGGGGUAGUGGCUUACCAAGGCUUUGACGGGUAGCCGGCCUGAGAGGGUGACCGGCCACAUUGGGACGGAGAUACGGCCCAGACUCCUACGGGAGGCAGCAGUGGGGAAUAUUGCACAAUGGGCGGAAGCCUGAUGCAGCAACGCCGCGUGCGGGAUGACGGCCUUCGGGUUGUAAACCGCUUUCGCCUGUGACGAAGCGUGAGUGACGGUAAUGGGUAAAGAAGCACCGGCUAACUACGUG